Long non-coding RNA from Trifolium pratense (red clover), 713 nucleotides. RefSeq lists it as uncharacterized. NCBI's taxonomy places the organism in Eukaryota, Viridiplantae, Streptophyta, Magnoliopsida, Fabales, Fabaceae. The record is from RefSeq and is a predicted model, not a curated record. The transcript is spliced from 3 exons.
GAUAGAUAGAUAUUUAUGUUAUCUAAGAUGCUUCCUUUCUCCUCAUCACCAUCUUGUUCCUUCCUUCAUUUCUGAAAAAGCCCCUUCAUCACCAUGACUCCAUUCUUCAAAAUCACCAUUUGAUUCCUUUGUCUUCAAAUCGAGAGAAAAAGGCCUUCGUUCUUUAUUAUUUUAAGAAAAAAUUGUAUUCGAAAGUACCAUAUUGACCUUCACUUAAAUGAAAAAUUCAUCCACUAUCCUCAAUCCUCAACCUACGAAUUCGAACGAUUCUUUCACUGAUUCUCUCGCGUCGCCACUCGCCGUCGGCGCAACUGCUCCGAUCGAACGAACUCUCCUCUCUUUUCUGAAGGUGAAGCGUGGGUAUGAGGAGUUCGUUCGAUUAACGAUCUUCCUGAUUCAACCGGAGACGUGCUGAUGCUUAUAAUGCUAGAGAGGAGAUCAAAGUUAUGAAGCAGUGGAGAGAGGCUGGAAACGAUGUUGAACUGAUGGAGAGUUAGAAAUUUUCUAAAGUGGCGAGCAUCUGAAGAAGGGUCAUCCAAUUGAGUAAAGGUAUUCACAAUCGAAAAUCAUGGGAAAUAUUAAUGAGGUCAACCAUAAAGAUUGAAGUGAAUGGAAAUAGAAUGACCAUCAAUUUAGAGCUUAUUUGAAAGAGAAUGGACAUGAUUUGUUUUUCAUUAUGCCUUUCCAUAAAUAUUAGACUUGUUUUGAUCUAA